Molecule: ribosomal RNA, 399 nt
Filed under: uncultured bacterium
Lineage: Bacteria
Description: partial 16S ribosomal RNA
Rfam family: Bacterial small subunit ribosomal RNA
Source: RNAcentral
CCUACGGGUGGCAGCAGUGAGGAAUAUUGGUCAAUGGACGAGAGUCUGAACCAGCCAAGUCGCGUGAAGGAUGACUGCCCUAUGGGUUGUAAACUUCUUUUAUAUGGGAAUAAAAUGUUCCAUGUGUGGGAUUUUGUAUGUACCAUACGAAUAAGGAUCGGCUCACUCCGUUCCAUCAGCGCAGGUAAGACGGAGGAUCCGAGCGUUAACCGGAUUUAUUGGGGUUAACGGGAGCGUAGGUGGAUUGUUAAGUUAGUUGUGAAAGGUUGGGGCUUAACCGUAAAAUUGCAGUUGAAACUGGCAGUCUUGAGUACAGUAGAGGUGGGCAGAAUUCGUGGUGUAGCGGUGAAAUGCUUAGAUAUCACGAAGAACACCGAUUGCGAAGGCAGUCCACUGGAC